UACGUAGGGUGCAAGCGUUGUCCGGAAUUAUUGGGCGUAAAGAGCUCGUAGGCGGUCUGUCACGUCGGCUGUGAAAACCUGGGGCUCAACUCCGGGCCUGCAGCCGAUACGGGCAGACUAGAGUUCGGCAGGGGAGACUGGAAUUCCUGGUGUAGCGGUGAAAUGCGCAGAUAUCAGGAGGAACACCGGUGGCGAAGGCGGGUCUCUGGGCCGAAACUGACGCUGAGGAGCGAAAGCGUGGGGAGCGAACGGG
Molecule: ribosomal RNA, 253 nt
Filed under: uncultured bacterium
Lineage: Bacteria
Description: partial 16S ribosomal RNA
Rfam family: Bacterial small subunit ribosomal RNA
Source: RNAcentral